ACGGGGCAGCAGUGGGGAAUAUUGGGCAAUGGGCGCAAGCCUGACCCAGCAACGCCGCGUGAAGGAGGAAGGCUUUCGGGUUGUAAACUUCUUUUGUCAGGGAAGAGCAGAAGACUGUACCUGGCGAAUAAGCCACGGCUAACUACGUGCCAGCAGCCGCGGUAAUACGUAGGUGGCAAGCGUUGUCCGGAUUUACUGGGUGUAAAGGGCGUGUAGCCGGGCCGGUAAGUCAGAUGUGAAAUCCACGGGCUCAACUCGUGAACUGCAUUUGAAACUGCUGAUCUUGAGUAUCGGAGAGGCAAUCGGAAUUCCUUGUGUAGCGGUGAAAUGCGUAGAUAUAAGGAAGAACACCAGUGGCGAAGGCGGUUAGCUGGACAAUAACUGACGCUGAGGCGCGAAAGCGUGGGUAGCAAACAGGAUUAGAUACCCUGGUA
Molecule: ribosomal RNA, 434 nt
Filed under: uncultured Oscillibacter sp.
Lineage: Bacteria; Bacillati; Bacillota; Clostridia; Eubacteriales; Oscillospiraceae
Description: bacterial SSU rRNA
Rfam family: Bacterial small subunit ribosomal RNA
Source: RNAcentral